AGAGUUUGAUCCUGGCUCAGAACGAACGCUGGAGGCAUGCUUAACACAUGCAAGUUGAACGAUCUGUAUUGGUAGCAAUAUCGAUGCAGGUAGUGGCAAACGGGUGAGUAACACGUGGGAAUGUGCCCUUUAGUUCGGAAUAACGUUUGGAAACGAACGCUAAAACCGGAUAAGCCCGAGAGGGGAAAGAGAAAUCGCUAAAGGAGCGGCCCGCGCUAGAUUAGGUAGUUGGUGUGGUAAAGGCGCACCAAGCCAAUGAUCUAUAGCUGGUCUGAGAGGACGAACAGCCACACUGGAACUGAGACACGGUCCAGACUUCUACGGAAGGCAGCAGUGGGGAAUAUUGGACAAUGGGGGAAACCCUGAUCCAGCAAUGCCUCGUGAGUGAAGAAGGCCUUAGGGUUGUAAAGCUCUUUUAUUAGGGAAGAUAAUGACGGUGCCUAAUGAAUAAGCUCCGGCAAACUUCGUGCCAGCAGCCGCGGUAAUACGAAGGGGGCAAGCGUUGUUCGGAAUAACUGGGCGUAAAGGGUGAGUAGGCGGUUUAGUAAGUUUGGUGUGAAAUACUUGGGCUCAACCUGAGAACUGCACUGAAGACUGCUAGGCUAGAGAGUUGUAGGGGAUGACGGAAUUAUGCAUGGAGAGGUGG
Molecule: ribosomal RNA, 646 nt
Filed under: uncultured bacterium
Lineage: Bacteria
Description: bacterial SSU rRNA
Rfam family: Bacterial small subunit ribosomal RNA
Source: RNAcentral